Molecule: ribosomal RNA, 117 nt
Filed under: Kitasatospora sp. GP82
Lineage: Bacteria; Bacillati; Actinomycetota; Actinomycetes; Kitasatosporales; Streptomycetaceae
Source: RNAcentral
UUCGGUGGUCACAGCGAGAGGGAAACGCCCGGUCACAUUCCGAACCCGGAAGCUAAGCCUUUCAGCGCCGAUGGUACUGCAGAGGGGACUCUGUGGGAGAGUAGGACGCCGCCGAAU